CAAGGCCUACGGGAGGCAGCAGUCGAGAAUCAUUCACAAUGGGGGAAACCCUGAUGGUGCGACGCCGCGUGGGGGAAUGAAGGUCUUUGGAUUGUAAACCCCUGUCAUGUGGGAGCAAAUUAAAAAGAUAGUACCACAAGAGGAAGAGACGGCUAACUCUGAGCCAGCGGCCGCGGUAAUACAGAGGUCUCAAGCGUUGUUCGGAAUCACUGGGCGUAAAGCGUGCGUAGGCUGUUUCGUAAGUCGUGUGGGAAAGGCGCGGGCUCAACCCGCGGACGGCACAUGAUACUGCGAGACUAGAGUAA
RNAcentral lists this ribosomal RNA (305 nucleotides) under uncultured bacterium. RNAcentral describes it as "bacterial SSU rRNA". It matches the Rfam family "Bacterial small subunit ribosomal RNA", at positions 333 to 649 of the family's 1533-position model. The record is from RNAcentral.